This 424-nucleotide ribosomal RNA is filed under the name uncultured bacterium. Its description in RNAcentral is "bacterial SSU rRNA". It matches the Rfam family "Bacterial small subunit ribosomal RNA", at positions 29 to 506 of the family's 1533-position model. The record is from RNAcentral.
AUUAACGUUGGCAGUGUGCCUAACACAUGCAAGUCGCGCGAUAUAGCGGCAGACGAGAGAGUAAUAACAAGGAAUUUGCCCCCGAGUGAAGGAUAGCCACCCGAAAGGGUGGGUAACCCUGCAUAAUAUCGAAAGAUCAAAGCCGUAAGGCGCUUGGGGAGAAGCCUUGUUCCUAUCAGCUAGUCGGUGAGGUAAUGGCUCACCAAGGCGAUGACGGGUAGCUGGACUGAGAGGUUGACCAGCCUCGAUGGGACUGAGACACGGCCCAUACUCCUACGGGAGGCAGCAGUUGGGAAGUUUGCACAAUGGACGCAAGUCUGAUGCAGCAACACUGCGUGAAGGAUGAAGGUUUUCGGAUCGUAAACUUCUUUUAUCAGGGAAUAAGCUUGAAUGUACCUGAUGAAUAAGCACCGGCUAACUACGU